GAAAUAGUGUGGGCCAAUAGAAUCCGCACUGCAAAACCUUUGCAGCCGUCUUUUUACCACUGAAAUGACCACCACAAGCGUGGUCAUGACAAAAGGAAAGGACAUUCCUUUGAUCGUGUUCAGGGAUGCAUCGUCUGAUGAUUUGAUCAGGACAGUAUUUGAACAGGUAUGGUUCAUCCCAAAAAUACCAUUUUACACGAGCUAGGAAGCGAA
RNAcentral lists this long non-coding RNA (213 nucleotides) under Phoenix dactylifera (date palm). Its description in RNAcentral is "long non-coding RNA (PDAC_LNC008065)". The record is from RNAcentral. Lineage: Eukaryota; Viridiplantae; Streptophyta; Magnoliopsida; Arecales; Arecaceae.